UACGUAGGGGGCAAGCGUUGUCCGGAUUUAUUGGGCGUAAAGAGCGUGUAGGCGGCCAUGCAGGUCCGCUGUGAAAACUCGAGGCUCAACCUCGAGACGUCGGUGGAAACCGUGUGGCUAGAGUCCGGAAGAGGAGAGUGGAAUUCCCGGUGUAGUGGUGAAAUGCGUAGAUAUCGGGAGGAACACCAGUGGCGAAGGCGACUUCCUGGCCUGUUCUUGACGCUGAGGCGCGAAAGCUAGGGGAGCAAACAGG
This 253-nucleotide ribosomal RNA is filed under the name uncultured bacterium. RNAcentral's name for it is "partial 16S ribosomal RNA". It matches the Rfam family "Bacterial small subunit ribosomal RNA", at positions 524 to 776 of the family's 1533-position model. The record is from RNAcentral.